RNAcentral lists this ribosomal RNA (273 nucleotides) under uncultured bacterium. RNAcentral's name for it is "partial 16S ribosomal RNA". It matches the Rfam family "Bacterial small subunit ribosomal RNA", at positions 524 to 796 of the family's 1533-position model. The record is from RNAcentral.
GACGAACCAUGCAAACGUUAUUCGGAAUCACUGGGCUUAAAGCGUGCGUAGGCGGCUCAGAAAGUUGGGUGUGAAAUGCCUCGGCUCAACCGAGGAAUUGCGCCCAAAACUACUGGGCUUGAGGGAGUUAGAGGUGAGCGGAACUCACGGUGGAGCGGUGAAAUGCGUUGAUAUCGUGAGGAACACCGGAGGCGAAAGCGGCUCACUGGGGCUUCACUGACGCUGAGGCACGAAAGCUAGGGGAGCAAACGGGAUUAGAAACCCCCGUAGUCC